CCGAGUCCCAGCUCUUGGUUUGCGCCUUGGCCUCGGGAUCUUCCGGGUCCCACCGCGCGCUGCUCGCGGGCAAGCCGCUGGGCUCUGGCGCCUUGAGCAUCCGAGCAGGUCCUGCCCCCGCCGUAGGCGUGGGGACCUAGAGCUGCCCUCCGCUCCUUGUCCCGGGCCAGAGGCGGACACUAGGCGGUAGAAGCAGCUGCAGGGUCUGCCCUGCCCCCGCCCCGCGCGGAGAGCUGCUGCCAGGAACAGCAAUAUUAAUAGGUACAAACUUCCUGGAAAGAUUUUCGUCUUCGCGGUAAAUGACCCCUCCUUGUCUGCCGGGGCAGGCGACGGGGAAGCCUGGGACCCACAGGAGCCAGGGACAUUUGGGACCCAUGGAGCUGUGGCUCACGAGAGCUGAGGUUCAUUGGUUGGGGACCCACUCGGUGGGCAGGUCACAGACACCGUAGGGCAGGGCUGGGCUCGCCUUGGUAAAUUAGGCGUUGGAGCCGCGACGCCCGAUUGCCAUUCCUCGGGAGCGCGCACGCCCUGGGCCACCCCGCCCGUAUGCAGCGGCCGUAGCUCCUCCUCCGGAUCGGGCUUCGGGGACCUUUGGUCACUUAGGAGCACCCAAACAACUCUGCAGCUGGUGCCCAUAGGUGCGCGUCAUUCCUUUCUCUAGAAUUACCUGGCCCAGAAGCAGUUGUAGCCAAAGCCACCUCUCUCUUUCCCAGUCGCCAAGAGAGGACGGAUCAGGAAGCGUCCCACCGGCCGCUUGGGCGCUGUGUGGUCAGUCCAUGCCUGCAUCUUGCGGAUAGUCAGGUCCCAGUGCCUCCGCAGGAGGCUCACUCCCCGUACGGUGGCUGGAGUUCCCAAACCCUUUUUUUUUUUUACAACUCUGGACAGGGCGCCUGUUCUAGAUUGGUUGGAGGUGUUUUCCCACCUGAAAGUCAUCAUUCAUUGAAAAUAUUUAUUGAAGCCGAUGUGGUGGGAAGCUUGUAAUUCCAGCACUCUGGAGGCAGAGGGAAGAGGAUCUCCCAUAGGUAAAGUUAGCCAGGUACUGAGCCCUUGACUUAAACAAACAAAUUAUCGCUACAAAGCAAACACAAAAAUCCUCUUUCCCAAAACUUGAAAAAAAAAAAAAAAAGACAGAAUUGAAACAUACAUGUGGGCAGAUGGCCAUGGAAGCUCACGGGAGGAGAGGCAGGAAGAGGAUGGAGCAGGACAGAGCUGUGUAGACGUGUUUAGUGUUGGGACUGGGUGGUUGGGAAAGAGCAAGCCAGCCUCACAGGCUCACUCCCAAAGAUGAAGACUGGCCCUGCUGGUUCCACCGGUGGUGUGGGAGUCAGAACGGCAGUUUGGGGCAUGCUGGGUUUGAUGCACACAUUGGACAUCCAAGGGUAGGGCGGAACAGAUACUGGUCAGACAGGUCUCCAUGCGAGAUGCGAGACAGGGGAAAACACCUGAAGGAACCACCAGCCAGCCACCUCUGCUUAUGGAGUGCGUGACGGUACAGUAUGCGUAGGUGUAGCUAGCUUGAAACUCUCUGUAGAUCAGGCUGGCCUCGAUGGAAAGAUCAGCCUGCCUCAGUCUCCUGAGUUGCUGUCAUCCCAGUCGGAACUAAAAAAUUUAAAUUUAACUAAUUUAAAUUGAAAACAGGUUAUUGACUCAGUUAUUUGAAAAUCUUUAUUCUGUCUGAAACAACUAGGGUAUAGACAUCUGUUUUUUCAAUGGCUUUCACAUUGGGUGGUUUAUAGUCGCCUCUAAGUCCAGCUCCCUGGAGUCAGAAAC
RNAcentral lists this long non-coding RNA (1770 nucleotides) under Mus musculus (house mouse). RNAcentral describes it as "long non-coding RNA chr1:180777798-180779568". The record is from RNAcentral. Lineage: Eukaryota; Metazoa; Chordata; Mammalia; Rodentia; Muridae.